Long non-coding RNA from Lutzomyia longipalpis, 938 nucleotides. RefSeq lists it as uncharacterized. The transcript is spliced from 3 exons. The record is from RefSeq and is a predicted model, not a curated record. Lineage: Eukaryota; Metazoa; Arthropoda; Insecta; Diptera; Psychodidae.
AGAGAAUAAAAAAAUAUUGAAGAAUCGCGAGAGAAACUCCCCAAAAUCCACUGGGAUCACAUCGAAAAGUGCAAAUAAAAAUUGCCAAAAAAUGAGAAACAUUCCGUCGCCAUUUGCAAUUUUUGUCGCUCAAAAUGUUUCAAAACAUUCUCUGUCACUUUUGUUGCGCUUAUGGCGCUGAGUUUUUUUUUCAUAAAAUCAAUAAAAAUUGCCGAUUUUGGUGAUAAAUGUUUAUUGUUUCCGUGUGGGAGUGAUUUUUAAGGAUUUGUAGGCAUCUCAAUCAGGUACAUCGUGCUGGAUGAGCCCCAAUUUGGCGCUGGAUCUGUGAACCUUCCUCAGCUGCUUCACUAGAAUCCUCUUUUCGCUGGUGCUGCAUUCACGAUCUUCUCCACAAGGCGUCGUGAGACUUAAAACUGUGCUGGCGGAAAAAGUACAAAAAUACAUAACCUCAAUUUUGAAAUGACUGAAAUGAAUUGGACGAUUUCCAUUGUGCUCUACCAGCAUUGCCUUACCGUCAAUGAGAAUGCCAUUUGAGGAUCAUCAGACAGUACCCAACACUUACAGAUUUCUACGAUGAUGCGUGUGAACAACUCAAACAUACCAACUUUAUGGACUUCAGGGUGGACAAAAAGAAUCAAGAGGGGCGUAGUGUACUUGGCAGAUAUUCUCGAGAAGCGUAUGGACGGGGAAGGAGACCCUCUACCAGUGACGAAGAUUCAUAGACUCUGCCUCGAUAUUGCCUCCGCUCUAUAUUUCCACUUCCAGAAAGUCUGAAUCUUCCCGAUGAGUACCUACAAUCUGUACAUAGGGCUCUCCUAUGCAUGUAUUUACGAGAUUCCGGAAGAUUGCUCCACAAGCCAGAGAAUUAAGACUAUGUUCACACAUUUUUUAUUUACAACUUUUAUUUAUUUCCAACUAAAAUAAAGUUAUUUACGGGA